RNAcentral lists this small nucleolar RNA (108 nucleotides) under Drosophila ficusphila. RNAcentral's name for it is "small nucleolar RNA Me28S-Am2589". It matches the Rfam family "Small nucleolar RNA Me28S-Am2589". From Rfam's summary of the family: Me28S-Am2589 is a member of the C/D class of snoRNA which contain the C (UGAUGA) and D (CUGA) box motifs. This family directs 2'-O-methylation of 28S A-2589. Lineage: Eukaryota; Metazoa; Arthropoda; Insecta; Diptera; Drosophilidae. The record is from RNAcentral.
UAGCACCUGAUGAUAAAACCACACUGAAACGUUGUUGUGUACUAUAUUUGAACACUUCGAUGUUACCCUAGGAUGGUCGCAUUCGCGAGGCAUUUGUCUGAUGCACAU